GGCGAACGCUGGCGGCGUGCUUAACACAUGCAAGUCGAACGAUGAACCCGGAGCUUGCUCCGGUGGAUUAGUGGCGAACGGAUGAGUAACACGUGAGUAACCUGCCCUUGGCUCUGGGAUAACUGCGGGAAACUGUAGCUAAUACCGGAUACGACCCUCGGCGGCAUCGCCAGGGGGUGGAAAGAAUUUCGGUAAAGGAUGGACUCGCGGCCUAUCAGCUAGUUGGUGGGGUAACGGCUCACCAAGGCGACGACGGGUAGCCGGCCUGCGAGGGUGACCGGCCACACGGGGACUGAGACACGGCCCAGACUCCUACGGGAGGCAGCAGUGGGGAAUAUUGCACAAUGGGCGCAAGCCUGAUGCAGCUACGCCGCGUGAGGGAUGACGGCCUUCGGGUUGUAAACCUCUUUUAGUAGGGAAGAAGCGAAAGUGACGGUACCUGCAGAAAAAGCACCGGCUAACUACGUGCCAGCCGCCGCUGUAA
This 484-nucleotide ribosomal RNA is filed under the name uncultured bacterium. RNAcentral's name for it is "partial 16S ribosomal RNA". It matches the Rfam family "Bacterial small subunit ribosomal RNA", at positions 28 to 523 of the family's 1533-position model. The record is from RNAcentral.